This 484-nucleotide ribosomal RNA is filed under the name Nocardia sp. 14-039. RNAcentral's name for it is "bacterial SSU rRNA". It matches the Rfam family "Bacterial small subunit ribosomal RNA", at positions 15 to 516 of the family's 1533-position model. The record is from RNAcentral. Lineage: Bacteria; Bacillati; Actinomycetota; Actinomycetes; Mycobacteriales; Nocardiaceae.
GAUCCUGGCUCAGGACGAACGCUGGCGGCGUGCUUAACACAUGCAAGUCGAGCGGUAAGGCCCUUCGGGGUACACGAGCGGCGAACGGGUGAGUAACACGUGGGUGAUCUGCCUCGUACUCUGGGAUAAGCCUGGGAAACUGGGUCUAAUACCGGAUAUGACCACGAGUCGCAUGGUUUGUGGUGGAAAGAUUUAUCGGUGCGAGAUGGGCCCGCGGCCUAUCAGCUUGUUGGUGGGGUAAUGGCCUACCAAGGCGACGACGGGUAGCCGGCCUGAGAGGGCGACCGGCCACACUGGGACUGAGACACGGCCCAGACUCCUACGGGAGGCAGCAGUGGGGAAUAUUGCACAAUGGGCGGAAGCCUGAUGCAGCGACGCCGCGUGCGGGAUGACGGCCUUCGGGUUGUAAACCGCUUUCGACAGGGACGAAGCGUGAGUGACGGUACCUGUAGAAGAAGCACCGGCCAACUACGUGCCAGCAGCC